This 22-nucleotide unclassified non-coding RNA is filed under the name Mus musculus (house mouse). RNAcentral's name for it is "oocyte_clustered_small_RNA11280". Lineage: Eukaryota; Metazoa; Chordata; Mammalia; Rodentia; Muridae. The record is from RNAcentral.
CUGGAACCUGUGUGCUCUCUGC